ACUCUGACCAUUUCACUUAAUUGCCAAAUCGAAGGUAAUUAAGUAGUUUUGCGUCAGAGCGA
Molecule: microRNA precursor, 62 nt
Filed under: Pristionchus pacificus
Lineage: Eukaryota; Metazoa; Nematoda; Chromadorea; Rhabditida; Neodiplogasteridae
Description: microRNA ppc-mir-8329 precursor
Source: miRBase by way of RNAcentral